AUUGAACGCUGGCGGAAUGCUUUACACAUGCAAGUCGAACGGCAGCAUAGGUGCUUGCACCUGAUGGCGAGUGGCGAACGGGUGAGUAAUACAUCGGAACGUGCCCAGUCGUGGGGGAUAACGUAGCGAAAGUUACGCUAAUACCGCAUACGAUCUACGGAUGAAAGCGGGGGACCGUAAGGCCUCGCGCGAUUGGAGCGGCCGAUGUUAGAUUAGGUAGUUGGUGGGGUAAAGGCUCACCAAGCCGACGAUCUAUAGCUGGUCUGAGAGGAUGAUCAGCCACACUGGGACUGAGACACGGCCCAGACUCCUACGGGAGGCAGCAGUGGGGAAUUUUGGACAAUGGGCGCAAGCCUGAUCCAGCCAUUCCGCGUGCAGGACGAAGGCCUUCGGGUUGUAAACUGCUUUUGUACAGAACGAAAAGCCUUGGGUUAAUACCCUGGGGUCAUGACGGUACUGUAAGAAUAAGCACCGGCUAACUACGUGCA
This 488-nucleotide ribosomal RNA is filed under the name uncultured bacterium. RNAcentral describes it as "bacterial SSU rRNA". It matches the Rfam family "Bacterial small subunit ribosomal RNA", at positions 30 to 509 of the family's 1533-position model. The record is from RNAcentral.